Molecule: ribosomal RNA, 112 nt
Filed under: Fusarium oxysporum
Lineage: Eukaryota; Fungi; Ascomycota; Sordariomycetes; Hypocreales; Nectriaceae
Description: partial large subunit ribosomal RNA
Source: RNAcentral
AGCUCAAAUUUGAAAUCUGGCUCUCGGGCCCGAGUUGUAAUUUGUAGAGGAUGCUUUUGAUGCGGUGCCUUCCGAGUUCCCUGGAACGGGACGCCAUAGAGGGUGAGAGCCC